GUGUGUGAUUCAAAAGAAGUGGGAAAGCAGCAGCACAAGGCUACAGUCAAUGUCAUUGCUGUUUUUAAUCCAGAAGAAGGGAGCCUUCCUUCCAGCCAGCAAAGAGGAGGAGGAAAAUGUGGUCACUAUUCCCAUCAGAAAGCAGAGCAUGUUUGUGUGAAUUCGGGAAAAUCGUAUUUUGGUCAACAAGUGCAACCUGUACAUGUUCCAGAUCCUCACACCUGGCUGCAUGGCCUCACAGUGCAUGUGUGCUGAACCAGGAGGCUCAGGUGUGGGUGCAGCUCACCUGAACAGUCUUGCCAGAGAAAUGGCACAGUAACAGGGUACUGAGCAGAGAUCCAUGGAUAAUUCAGUAGGUGACUGAUUAGGUGAGUGUUACAUGACACUUUCUGCUUCUCAUUGUUCUUGUUGGUGUUCCUACAAUUUUGGACCCCCUUAAUACACGGUUUCUGGGGUCAGUGGUACAUGAGCUGGUAGUCAUCAUCUCCCCCUACCAGAAUUAACUUUUACCCAGCUGGAGCUAUUUUAACACAAUUGCUGAGUUUGCUUUAUUACUUUCUUAUCUUGGGAGCUCUGCCAGAUGUCCCUGUGGCCUGUAAAUUCUGCAUUCUUUGUGUCCGGUAUCAGUGCACAUCCUUCUUUCCAAGAUUUGUAACUUUCCCCCCAGAUCUGAGAUCACUGAAGCAUGGACAGCAAAAGAACAGAUCCUCUGUUUUCCCCAUUGGCUGAGUAGGAAGAAAGAGGUUUAGGUGGCUGGCCACAACUUCCAGCGCGGAGCCCGGCCCUGGCGGAGCCCAGGGCGUCACUCGCUGCUCUUGCUGACUGCAGCGGCUGCCAGCGGCUCUCGCCUGACGGCGCCAUUUUUCCUCCCCGCCGCCCGCUCCCUCCUUCCCCUUCUGGCUCCUUCAGUACGGAGUGUC
Molecule: long non-coding RNA, 920 nt
Filed under: Cyanistes caeruleus (blue tit)
Lineage: Eukaryota; Metazoa; Chordata; Aves; Passeriformes; Paridae
Description: lncRNA (ENSCCEG00000003266.1)
Source: RNAcentral